GUGUUUCCGCACACGCCGUCGAGGUUAUUAUUUGAUUGAAGUCUUUAGUUUAGUUCAAACCGAAAUGGAAGCAUCUAAUAGCAAUUGGCGCCUUCGAGCUUGGAUGGAUACCACCUACAUUGCCAAUAUGAAUUCCUUACUACGAGUCAAACAUAAGGCGUGCAUUGGACAAACUCCAUUUAGGUGUUGUUUAGACAUUGUAGAUCCUUUAGAGGUCAAUUUAAAAUUAUUGAAAGAAAUGGUAUGUCAG
Long non-coding RNA from Vigna radiata var. radiata (mung bean), 250 nucleotides. RefSeq lists it as uncharacterized. The record is from RefSeq and is a predicted model, not a curated record. The transcript is spliced from 3 exons. Lineage: Eukaryota; Viridiplantae; Streptophyta; Magnoliopsida; Fabales; Fabaceae.